GUGCCUGGCCUAAUUCUAGAAUUUACAAUGAAAAUGCAAAGGACUAAGAAGCAGUAGGAGAACUUGCUCUACCAGAUAAGAUUUAUUACAUGCUACAGUAUUAAUACAGUGUGCUAUUGGCACAAGGAUAGACAAAUAAGCCAAAGGAACAGAAUUCAGAGACAGACUCACAGAAAUAGGAAUACAGUAUUUAUGACAAAGGUAGUCCUAUAGAGAAUGGGAAAAGGACAGUCAUCUCAAUAAACACUAAGAAGUCAACUGGAUAUUCACAUGGAAAAAAAAUGAAAUUUGACCCCUACCUCACAACACAUACAAAUUCCAACUUCAGAAAAGUAGAUCUAAAUGGAAAAAGUAAAACAAUAAAGCUACUAGAAUAUAACAUAGGAAAUAUCUUCAUGACCUUAGGGUAGGCAAUGAUUCCUACCCAGGACACAAAAAAGCAACACUAUACAGAAAAAGGUAACUGUGACCACAUUAAAAUUAAUUAACUUCUGUUCAUCAAAAGAUACCAUUAAAAGAGUAAAAGACAAAAUAUAAAGUGGUGGGAGAUAUUUACAUCAUGUAUAACCAAACACAGGCCUGAUACAUAGAAUAUAAAAAGAAUUCUAAAAUGGCGGACGGGAAGGCAGGAGAGGAGAAGCCUGAAAAGUUGCAGCGAGCUGGAGCCGCCGGAGUAACGGAGGGGAAAGUUCCAGUCGCAGCGCUGAGAAGCGAUCAGCUGAAAAAGAAGCCGCCGACCUCCCAACAAAGCCUACAAAGAUUUCCAAGUUUGGAUUUGCCAUAGGUAGUCAGACGACAAAGAAAGCAUCAGCCAUAUCCAUCAAACUUGGAUCAAGUAAGCCUAAAGAAACUGUUCCAACUCUUACUCCAAAAACUCUUUCAGUAGCCGCAGCUUUUAAUGAAGAUGAAGAUAGUGAACCAGAGGAAAUGCCUCCAGAAGCAAAGAUGAGGAUGAAGAAUAUUGGAAGGGAUACACCAGCAUCAGCUGGACCAAACUCCUUCAGUAAAGGAAAACAUGGGUUUUCUGAUAACUAGAAGCUGUGGGAGCGAAAUAUAAAAUCUCAUCUUGGAAAUGUCCAUGACCAAGACAAUUAAAUGAUGUUUUGAAAUUGGGGUGUGGGGUAGGUGUAAAGUUAAAAGGAACAGUUUCUUUUUUUAAAGAAUGGUAUAAGACUAUCUUUGGAGCUGCUUUUUUUUUCUUUUUCAUUUUUUUAAAAGAUUGAGGGGUACACUAAUAAACGAGAGUUUGAAAUUAGAGGUAAUUUAUGUGUUACAUACAGAUUUCAAGACAUUUGCUAGUUUUGUAGUUUCAUGUGAUUAGUUUCCAAAGGUUACAGAUAAUAAAGAAAUCAGAAAUGGUACCUUUUUAAGAAUUGCAUAUUUUUUUAGACACAACUAUUAGCACAUUAAGAGGGAAGCAAAAAGUUAUUGUCUAUUUAAAACUGCAAGCAGUUACUCUCUUAACUCCUUAUUACCUAAACUUGUUUGGCUCCCAGGAACAGCCUUAUAAAGAGAGGGAGUAUUGUAUUGGGAGGAAAAUGUUACUGAACUAUUCACUGAAAAUAAAUUUAGAUAAAAUACAGCUUUUUUCCUUAUGGGCAUUUGUUUUGUUUCAAGUCAUCAUAAACUAGGUAUUGCAUUGCUAUCAGUGGAUACAGAUGCUUAGCUCCUAAAAGAAUUUUUUUUUUUUUUAAUGUAAACUGUUGAAUAUUUGAAAUAGUCCACUUCACCUUAAUGGGUCUUGUCUAUCUUCAUUAGUCUUCAAAGAAAAACCAUUUGCUACCAAAGUAAAUCAGUAUUUUGAAUGUGCUUCUCUUGUUUUUUGUUUAUUAGCUAGUUCCUUUAAGCAUUUCCACCAGAACUUGAGGCAAAUCAUAAGGAAGCUGUUUCUUUUAAAACACAAACCACCACCAAAAAUUUAAAUUUACAUAUUGCUUAAAUAUUUGGCUGUUUUUAGUUUUUAAAAGGUAUAAACACCAAAAAAAAAAAAAAAUAUUGUAUGAAGAUGGAAAAUAAGAAGAUGCACUUUCUGUAACCUUGUCUAAGGAUUUAAAUUACUAACUUGUGAACUCCAAUUUGAAUUGAACUUAACUAUCGGCUUUCUUACUAGUAAAAUUGUAUAGUUUAUUUUAAAUGCAUACAUAUUGACCAACGGCCUCUGAAAAAGCACAUUGUAGAUACUGAAAUUGAAGGAAAGAAAAUGCAUCUUCAAACAUUUUUUGGAAUCUCACCACAUGUACUUUGUUAGAUUUGUGUAUUGUAGGGUGUCUGUUUUGUAUUUUUGUAUUGUAUAUGAACUUUUAAAAAAAUGUGACAGUUAAACACAUCUUUAAAAGCAUAGUCACAGACAAAAGAAGCAUACAGUAUAAAAAUUUCCUUGAAAACUCCUACAAUAUUAUAUUUGGAAGCAGCUUCAGAUUGUUUUACUGGUGGCAACUGCUUGCUGAAGUCUUUUAGUUGGUAAUAACUCCAGAGAAGCAGCCUGCGUAUAUUCCUAACAUUUUGUUCACUAGCAUUUAAGUUUAGAAUAAGCCCAAGUAAAACGAUGGAAAUGUAUAUAGAACUCUUAGUUCUUACAUGAUUUAAUUAUAUCAAGAUACAUGAAUUUAACUUACUUUAAUGUAGGCAAACUAUCCCUUUUUUGUCCAUUUUCCCGUUUGUUAAAAUAACAUACCUCUCCUACGUAUUAUUUUCUUGACCCAAAUGAAAUAUUAACCUAAGGUCAAGCUGGGAGAGAGAAAUGACUGAGAUGAAUGUCUUUACUAAAGUACCAACAAAUUUGUCAAACUCAAAAAAAAAAAAAAAAAAAAAA
Molecule: non-coding RNA, 2812 nt
Organism: Macaca mulatta (Rhesus monkey)
Lineage: Eukaryota; Metazoa; Chordata; Mammalia; Primates; Cercopithecidae
Source: RefSeq, a predicted model, not a curated record